AUGAUCCAGUAUUGUUCUGAGAUCUGGGGAGGGCAAGAACUAAGAAACCACCUCAUUUGGCCUGUGUUGGGCACAUUUGAAAGGUGGACAUGUAACGAGUUGCUCUCUCAUAUAGAGAGCAAAGUUCCCUCAGAUCCCGAGGAGAAGGAAUAUGCCAGGCUCUGGUUAACUGCCAGAGUAGGGCUAUUCCCGGUAAAACAAAAGCAUGGAUCAAGGGUCGAAAACUGGGAACCCCUUGAUCAUUUGCCCCCUCCGUACCACGGACCAGCAGGGCCCCCUGCAGCGGACCAAGUGGUGCCAUCGGCACCCGCAGGCUCCGCAGAGCAACCUGCCGAGGUACUCACAUCUCGAGCGGGGGAGUCUGCACCGGCAGUGGUACCGGCAACGCGCCCGUUGCCCCCGCCUGUGGAAACCCAAGCUGCCGCAAUCUCCUCGGAGUCACUGCAGGCACAAGGCUGGGGAACACGUUACCCACAAUUACCAGACUGGCUGUCCCAGUCGGGGCCCGCACAUCUAAAUGAGAGAGUCCCUCCUGGUAAUCACGUAGCGGCGGAAUUCCCGCAAACAAAAGACAGAACCCACACGAACCCCAGUUCCCCGCCUGCGAGUAGAACCCGGUUAAAAGUAAAAACGGGGGGUGAAGAGUGGGGAGAGAUUGGGAAUGGACACCAUAUGUUCCCUCUCAGAGAGGUACCAACAGCCCCAGGAGUUAUCGGAUUUGUAAAUGUUCCCCUUAAUUCAGGGGAUGUGCGGGCAUUUAAAAAAGAAAUGGGGCGGUUGUUGGAUGAUCCGUUUGGGGUGGCUGAGAGGUUAGAUGAAUUUUUGGGAAGUAGCAUUUAUACAUAUGAAGAUCUCAUGGCCAUCCUGAGAUCACUGUUUAGUCAAGAAGAAAGAGAAAUGAUUAAACAGGCAGGUAUCAGAGACUGGGAACGGCGUAACCCGCAGGGGACGCCAGGCGACCAAAAGUGGCCCAGCGUGAGCCCGAGUUGGAACGCCCAGACGGAGGGAGGUAGGAGAAGCAUGAUUGAUCUGAGAAAUACAAUCGUGCAAGGAAUAAGGGAGGCAGUCCCCUGA
RNAcentral lists this long non-coding RNA (1074 nucleotides) under Cyanistes caeruleus (blue tit). RNAcentral's name for it is "lncRNA (ENSCCEG00000005700.1)". Lineage: Eukaryota; Metazoa; Chordata; Aves; Passeriformes; Paridae. The record is from RNAcentral.